UAGGGAAUAUUGGACAAUGGGGGCAACCCUGAUCCAGCCACGCCGCGUGAGUGAAGAAGGCCCUCGGGUUGUAAAGCUCUUUUGUCCGGAAAGAAAAGCUUCGGGUUAAUACCCCGGGGUUCUGACGGUACCGGAAGAAUAAGCACCGGCUAACUUCGUGCCAGCAGCCGCGGUAAUACGAAGGGUGCAAGCGUUAUCCGGAUUCACUGGGCUUAAAGGGUGCGUAGGUGGGCAGAUAAGUCAGUGGUGAAAUCUUCCGGCUUAACCGGGAAACUGCCGUUGAUACUAGUUGUCUUGAAUAUUGCGGAGGUAAGCGGAAUAUGUAAUGUAGCGGUGAAAUGCUUAGAGAUGACAUAGAACACCAAUUGCGAAGGCAGCUUACUACACAAUCAUUGACACUGAGGCACGAAAGCGUGGGUAGC
Molecule: ribosomal RNA, 422 nt
Filed under: uncultured bacterium
Lineage: Bacteria
Description: bacterial SSU rRNA
Rfam family: Bacterial small subunit ribosomal RNA
Source: RNAcentral